GAUGAACGCUGGCGGCGUGCCUAAUACAUGCAAGUCGAGCGAACAGACGAGGAGCUUGCUCCUUUGACGUUAGCGGCGGACGGGUGAGUAACACGUGGAUAACCUACCUAUAAGACUGGGAUAACUUCGGGAAACCGGAGCUAAUACCGGAUAACAUGUUGAACCGCAUGGUUCAACAGUGAAAGACGGUCUUGCUGUCACUUAUAGAUGGAUCCGCGCCGCAUUAGCUAGUUGGUAAGGUAACGGCUUACCAAGGCAACGAUGCGUAGCCGACCUGAGAGGGUGAUCGGCCACACUGGAACUGAGACACGGUCCAGACUCCUACGGGAGGCAGCAGUAGGGAAUCUUCCGCAAUGGGCGAAAGCCUGACGGGGCAACGCCGCGUGAGUGAAGAAGGUCUUCGGAUCGUAAAACUCUGUUAUUAGGGAAGAACAAAUGUGUAAGUAACUAUGCACGUCUUGACGGUACCUAAUCAGAAAGCCACGGCUAACUACGUGCCAGCAGCCGCGGUAAUACGUAGGUGGCAAGCGUUAUCCGGAAUUAUUGGGCGUAAAGCGCGCGUAGGCGGUUUUUUAAGUCUGAUGUGAAAGCCCACGGCUCAACCGUGGAGGGUCAUUGGAAACUGGAAAACUUGAGUGCAGAAGAGGAAAGUGGAAUUCCAUGUGUAGCGGUGAAAUGCGCAGAGAUAUGGAGGAACACCAGUGGCGAAGGCGACUUUCUGGUCUGUAACUGGCGCUGAUGUGCGAAAGCGUGGGGAUCAAACAGGAUUAGAUACCCUGGUAGUCCACGCCGUAAACGAUGAGUGCUAAGUGUUAGGGGGUUUCCGCCCCUUAGUGCUGCAGCUAACGCAUUAAGCACUCCGCCUGGGGAGUACGACCGCAAGGUUGAAACUCAAAGGAAUUGACGGGGACCCGCACAAGCGGUGGAGCACGUGGUUUAAUUCGAAGCAACGCGAAGAACCUUACCAAAUCUUGACAUCCUCUGACCCCUCUAGAGAUAGAGUUUUCCCCUUCGGGGGACAGAGUGACAGGUGGUGCAUGGUUGUCGUCAGCUCGUGUCGUGAGAUGUUGGGUUAAGUCCCGCAACGAGCGCAACCCUUAAGCUUAGUUGCCAUCAUUAAGUUGGGCACUCUAAGUUGACUGCCGGUGACAAACCGGAGGAAGGUGGGGAUGACGUCAAAUCAUCAUGCCCCUUAUGAUUUGGGCUACACACGUGCUACAAUGGACAAUACAAAGGGUAGCGAAACCGCGAGGUCAAGCAAAUCCCAUAAAGUUGUUCUCAGUUCGGAUUGUAGUCUGCAACUCGACUACAUGAAGCUGGAAUCGCUAGUAAUCGUAGAUCAGCAUGCUACGGUGAAUACGUUCCCGGGUCU
This 1372-nucleotide ribosomal RNA is filed under the name uncultured bacterium. Its description in RNAcentral is "bacterial SSU rRNA". It matches the Rfam family "Bacterial small subunit ribosomal RNA", at positions 28 to 1381 of the family's 1533-position model. The record is from RNAcentral.